ACUUUCACAUAUACCCACGUGUGGUCAGCUGAAAAAUGACUCCUCGAAAGAUAUUCAUAUCAAACUCCUGGCAGCUAUGAAUGUGACUUUAUUUGGAAAAAGGGUCUUUGCAGGUGUAAUUAAAUGAAGGAUGUUGAGAUAAGGUGAUUAUUUGGGAUUGCUCAGGUUGGCCCUAAUUCGAAUGAUGAAUGUCUUUAUGAGAGAACGGCAGAGGGAGAUUUGAGACAGAUAGGAGUGAAAACACAGAGAGGAGGAGGAGGCAACGUGACCAUGGAAUAAGACAUUGGAGUGAAGUAGCCACAAGCCAAGGAAUGCCUAAAGCCACCAAAAGCUGGAAGACGCAGGAAAGGAGCCUCCUGGAGAGAUUUCUGAGGGAGCACAGCCCCACCGAUGCCAUGAUUUCAGCCUUCUGGUUCCCAGAAUUGUGAAAGAGUAAAUUUCUGUUGUUUCAAGUGGCCAAGUUGGUGGUAAUUUGCUACUGAAACCCCAGGAAGCUUUGUGCCUGGAUACUAGCAGGAAGGAAGAGGAGGAGCAAGAAUGGAAGGCUUGUACCAACAAGUUCUUAUCCUUUUUAAUGAGGAAAACAAGAGCAUCCCUAUUCUGCUCUUAUCUCACCGAGUUCCAUGGCCAUUCUGAGCUGCAGUGGAGUCUUGGGAGGACAUUUGGCUGGAUUCAAAGAACUUUGAAGCCCAAGGGGAUGGAGGAACCACGGGAUGGAAGGUGCCUGAAUCCUGAAUGACUGUGUGGACAGUUUAUAAACAUUUGGGCAGUGCCAUCUCUAUCACAUAAAUUUAUUUUGUCUUCUUUUAUUUCUUCUUACCUUCCCAUGAUUUUCCUGGGUGAAUGGCUAAUUAGAAGAGUAAGAUGAGGUAGAGGGUGGAAUAGAGAGAUUGUAAAUUCUGCUUUGGGGAUAUUAAUCUGAGUUGUGUGUGAGAUGUUCAAGUGAAGAUGUCAAGCAAAAAUUUAGAUAUUUGCACCCCAGUGUGGUGGCUCACACCUGUAAUACCAGUACUUUGAGAGGCUGAGGCGGGUGGAUCACUAGAGGUCAGGAGUUGGACACCAUCCUGACAAACAUGUUGAAACCCUGUCUCCACUAAAAAUACAAAAAUUAGCCGGGCGUGGUUAUGGGUGCCUGUAAUCCCAGCUACUUGGGAGGCUGAGGCAGGAGAAUCGCUUGAACCUAGGAGGCAGAGGUUGCAGUGAGCCAAGAUCAUGCCAUUGCACUCCAGCCUGGGCAAUAAGAGCAAAACUUGUCUCAAAAAAAAUUUAGAUAUUUGCCUAUGGAUUUCAGAGGAGAAAUGCGGCAAGAGCAAAAGUUUCAGAGUCAAUAACCUAAUACUUGCAUUUAGCUCCAAAAGAAUUGUUGAAAUUAUAUAGGGAAAGAGGGUAGAGAAUAAAGAAGUGCCUGAAGUUGAGACUUAAGAUUCCUCAACAUUUAGAGUUUGAGUAGGAAUGGAGUUCAAGAAAGAGCAGAAGGAAAAGUAGAAGGGAUAUCAGGAGAGCAUGAGGUCAGAGAAGCCAAGAGAGAAAUAUUGUGCAAGAUGGAAGAUGUGGCCACCAUUAUGAGUUCUACUGACUGGUAAAGUAACCGUGGGAGCCAUCAGUGGCCUUGACAAGAGACAUUUCCUGGGAUGAUGGUUGGAACCUAGACUAGAGCAGAUUGAGGAGACAACCAGUAGUAAGGCUACAGAGAAAAGGGAACACUUACACACUGUUGG
RNAcentral lists this long non-coding RNA (1718 nucleotides) under Homo sapiens (human). RNAcentral's name for it is "HSALNT0373272". Lineage: Eukaryota; Metazoa; Chordata; Mammalia; Primates; Hominidae. The record is from RNAcentral.